ACUCCUACGGGAGGCAGCAGUGAGGAAUAUUGGACAAUGGGUGGAAGCCUGAUCCAGCCAUCCCGCGUGCAGGAAGACGGCCCUAUGGGUUGUAAACUGCUUUUAUCUGGGGAUAAACCUACUUACGUGUAAGUAGCUGAAGGUACCAGAAGAAUAAGCACCGGCUAACUCCGUGCCAGCAGCCGCGGUAAUACGGAGGGUGCAAGCGUUAUCCGGAUUUAUUGGGUUUAAAGGGUCCGUAGGCGGACUGAUAAGUCAGUGGUGAAAUCCGACAGCUUAACUGUCGAACUGCCAUUGAUACUGUUAGUCUUGAGUAAGGUUGAAGUGGCUGGAAUAAGUAGUGUAGCGGUGAAAUGCAUAGAUAUUACUUAGAACACCAAUUGCGAAGGCAGGUCACUAAGUCUUAACUGACGCUGAUGGACGAAAGCGUGGGGAGCGAACAGGAUUAGAAACCCUGGUAGUCCC
Molecule: ribosomal RNA, 465 nt
Filed under: uncultured organism
Description: partial 16S ribosomal RNA
Rfam family: Bacterial small subunit ribosomal RNA
Source: RNAcentral